AGAGUUUGAUCCUGGCUCAGGAUGAACGCUAGCGGCAGGCUUAACACAUGCAAGUCGAGGGGCAGCGCGGGGUAGCAAUACCCUGGCGGCGACCGGCGGAAGGGUGCGUAACACGUGAGCGACUUGCCCGUCACAGGGAGAUAACCGGCGGAAACGGCGACUAAUAUCCCAUAUGAUCCGGUGCUACAUGGCGUCGGGUUGAAAGAUUCAUCGGUGACGGAUAGGCUCGCGGGACAUUAGCUUGACGGCGGGGCAACGGCCCACCGUGGCGACGAUGUCUAGGGGUUCUGAGAGGAAGAUCCCCCACACUGGAACUGAGACACGGUCCAGACUCCUACGGGAGGCAGCAGUGAGGAAUAUUGGUCAAUGGGCGGAAGCCUGAACCAGCCAUGCCGCGUGAAGGAAUAAGGCCCUAUGGGUCGUAAACUUCUUUAGACGCAGAGCAAUAAGGGUCUCGCGAGGCCCGAUGAGAGUAUGCGUAGAAUAAGCAUCGGCUAACUCCGUGCCAGCAGCCGCGGUAAUACGGGGGAUGCGAGCGUUAUCCGGAUUUAUUGGGUUUAAAGGGUGCGUAGGCGGCAAGGUAAGUCAGCGGUGAAAGACCAGGGCUCAACUCUGGAAGUGCCGUUGAUACUGUCUGGCUAGAAUGAUUCCGCCGUGGGAGGAAUGAGUAGUGUAGCGGUGAAAUGCAUAGAUAUUACUCAGAACACCGAUUGCGAAGGCAUCUCACGAGGGGUUUAUUGACGCUGAGGCACGAAAGCGUGGGGAUCGAACAGGAUUAGAUACCCUGGUAGUCCACGCAGUAAACGAUGAUGGCUAACUGUCGGGCCUUCGGGUUCGGCGGCCAAGCGAAAGCGAUAAGCCAUCCACCUGGGGAGUACGACCGCAAGGUUGAAACUCAAAGGAAUUGACGGGGGCCCGCACAAGCGGAGGAACAUGUGGUUUAAUUCGAUGAUACGCGAGGAACCUUACCCAGGCUCGAACGGCAUCUGAAUCGUCCAGAGAUGGGCGAGUCUUCGGACAGAUGUCGAGGUGCUGCAUGGUUGUCGUCAGCUCGUGCCGUG
This 1061-nucleotide ribosomal RNA is filed under the name human gut metagenome. RNAcentral's name for it is "bacterial SSU rRNA". It matches the Rfam family "Bacterial small subunit ribosomal RNA", at positions 8 to 1069 of the family's 1533-position model. The record is from RNAcentral.